Apteryx rowi (Okarito brown kiwi) is the source of this 1554-nucleotide long non-coding RNA. The record is from Ensembl. NCBI's taxonomy places the organism in Eukaryota, Metazoa, Chordata, Aves, Apterygiformes, Apterygidae.
AUGCUGCUCCCGGGAGCAGGCUCUGCCGGCGCAGCAUUCACAAGGCCCUGUCUACUGGCGUGGGGCCCUGCCGGCGGGCGCUGCUCCCCCGGGUGCAACGCUGCCAGCAGUGCCAGGCACGGCCUCUUCCCGCGCUGCUGCAGGGCUCCCUGCCGGCGCCUGGAGGCAGCUGGGAAGAGCUGCAGAGCUCCAUGCUCUGCCCCGCGGUCCAUGAGCUCGGCUCGGCGUGCUGGUGUCGUCCUCGGCCUGGCUGCGGGACCGCAGAGCAGGUUUGCACAAAGGUCUGGGCUGGCAGUGGCCUCCCUGGGUGGAGGGAAGAGCACGGGAACGGCAGCAGCCCCYGUGUGUCCCUCUGCGUGGGCUUGCUGCGACGGACGGUCCCCCCAUGCCGUGGCUGCCCCCGUCCCUGUGCCACAGCGUCCCUGCAGUGCGCGGAGCUCUAUGUGGGGCUUGGCCGCCCUGGGAUGCCCGGCUCUGCAGGGAUCCCGUUGGAUCUGGUGCCUUCCGAGGCAAGGCUGCUGCCCCCCUUCCUGCCUGCAGACCCAGCUGUUGGGGCUCUGGGGCUGCGGGACGAGGCGGCACAGAGCACCAGGGCCGAGCGCUGGCUCUGGUGGCAGAGCUCGUCCUCCACCCUGCUACCUGACUCCGUGCCCAGAGCCCAGGGCUGGGACAGCAGCCGGACGGGGCACAAGGUGCACAGGCUUGCGCUGUCCUCGAGGGGUUUCCACCUGGAGCACAGCGAGCCCAGGUUGGCCGGCUGAGCUGCUUCCCGGAGGAAGGCAGUCGGGGCCCUCAUCAGCUGCUGAGGCAUGCUGGGCCCCCGGGGCUGGGGCAGCUCGGCGCUCUGCGUGCAAGGAGGCGCCUCCACCUCCGCACAGACCCUCUCCGGCACCGCUGCCAGCCCUGUGGCGGGGGGGUGGCGUGGCCAUCCACGCGGGUGCRGGCUGUGCCUGUGGUCUGCAGGGCGGUGUGCCCGUCUGCCAGCAGCACGCCAGUCCCCAGCGUCCCCAACAUCCCGAGCUUGCAGCUGGAGAGGCCCCACAGCCCCGAGAGAGGGGUUGCCCCAUGGACCGCGGGACGGGCACAGGCGGUCAGUGCACACUGAUGCCCCCGCACUGCCCUGCUCGGCACCGGGGCUGCCCCGCGGACCGCGGGACGGGCACAGGCAGUCAGUGUGUGCAGAUGCCCCCGUGCUGCUCUGCUCGGCACCGGGGCUGCCCCGCGGACCGCGGGACGGGCACGGGCAGUCAGUGUGUGCAGAUGCCCCCGUGCUGCUCUGCUCGGCACCGGGGCUGCCCCGCAGACCAUGGGAUGGGCACGGGCAGUCGCUGCGCAUGGAUGCCACUGUGCUGCCCCGCUCCGGGCCUCUCCCACUGCUGGGACCCAGGGCCAUGGAUUGGGCUUGGCCCCAGAUGCAUCGCUGUCCCAUGGCCCCGUCCCCGUGCGUGGCUCCCGGCACCCCUUGGCACCAGUGCGGGGGACUGCACGCCGUCCUGCGCCCUUGCUGCCAGCUGGCUGCGCCCGCUGGGCCGGGGCCAGCGAUUGCUGGGGUGA